RNAcentral lists this ribosomal RNA (422 nucleotides) under Bacteroidota bacterium. RNAcentral's name for it is "Bacteroidetes bacterium partial 16S ribosomal RNA". It matches the Rfam family "Bacterial small subunit ribosomal RNA", at positions 355 to 776 of the family's 1533-position model. Lineage: Bacteria; Pseudomonadati; Bacteroidota. The record is from RNAcentral.
UGGGGAAUUUUGCACAAUGGGCGCAAGCCUGAUGCAGCGACGCCGCGUGAGGGAUGAAGGCCUUCGGGUUGUAAACCUUUUUCGCUCAUGGUCAAGCCGCAGCUUUGGGUUGUGGUGAGGGUAGUGGGUAAAGAAGCGCCGGCUAACUACGUGCCAGCAGCCGCGGUAAUACGUAGGGCGCGAGCGUUGUCCGGAAUUAUUGGGCGUAAAGGGCUUGUAGGCGGUUGGCCGCGUCUGCCGUGAAAUCCUCUGGCUUAACUGGGGGCGUGCGGUGGGUACGGGUUGACUUGAGUGCGGUAGGGGAGACUGGAAUUCCUGGUGUAGCGGUGGAAUGCGCAGAUAUCAGGAGGAACACCGGUGGCGAAGGCAGGUCUCUGGGCUGUUACUGACGCUGAGAAGCGAAAGCGUGGGGAGCGAACAGG